RNAcentral lists this ribosomal RNA (428 nucleotides) under Bacteroidota bacterium. Its description in RNAcentral is "Bacteroidetes bacterium partial 16S ribosomal RNA". It matches the Rfam family "Bacterial small subunit ribosomal RNA", at positions 355 to 776 of the family's 1533-position model. The record is from RNAcentral. Lineage: Bacteria; Pseudomonadati; Bacteroidota.
UAGGGAAUCUUCCGCAAUGGACGCAAGUCUGACGGAGCAACGCCGCGUGAGUGAAGAAGGAUUUCGGUUCGUAAAACUCUGUUGUUAGAGAAGAACAGCGCAUAGAGUAACUGUUAUGCGUGUGACGGUAUCUAACCAGAAAGCCACGGCUAACUACGUGCCAGCAGCCGCGGUAAUACGUAGGUGGCAAGCGUUGUCCGGAUUUAUUGGGCGUAAAGCGAGCGCAGGCGGUUUUUUAAGUCUGAUGUGAAAGCCCACGGCUCAACCAUUGUAGGCUUUGGAAACUGUUUAACUUGAGUGCAGAAGGGGAGAGUGGAAUUCCAUGUGUAGCGGUGAAAUGCGUAGAUAUAUGGAGGAACACCGGUGGCGAAAGCGGCUCUCUGGUCUGUAACUGACGCUGAGGCUCGAAAGCGUGGGGAGCGAACAGG